This 398-nucleotide ribosomal RNA is filed under the name uncultured bacterium. RNAcentral's name for it is "partial 16S ribosomal RNA". It matches the Rfam family "Bacterial small subunit ribosomal RNA", at positions 523 to 918 of the family's 1533-position model. The record is from RNAcentral.
AUACGUAGGGUGCGAGCGUUGUCCGGAAUUACUGGGCGUAAAGAGCUCGUAGGUGGUUUGUCGCGUCGUCUGUGAAAUUCCGGGGCUUAACUCCGGGCGUGCAGUCGAUACGGGCAUAACUUGAGUACUGUAGGGGAGACUGGAAUUCCUGGUGUAGCGGUGAAAUGCGCAAAUAUCAGGAGGAACACCGGUGGCGAAGGCGGUUCUCUGGGCAGUAACUGACGCUGAGGAGCGAAAGCAUGGGUAGCGAACAGGAUUAGAUACCCUGGUAGUCCAGGCCGUAAACGGUGGGCGCUAGGUGUAGGGGUCUUCCACGACUUCUGUGCCGUAGCUAACGCAUUAAGCGCCCCGCCUGGGGAGUACGGCCGCAAGGCUAAAACUCAAAUGAAUUGACGGGG